Molecule: ribosomal RNA, 314 nt
Filed under: bacterium st1(2009)
Lineage: Bacteria
Description: bacterial SSU rRNA
Rfam family: Bacterial small subunit ribosomal RNA
Source: RNAcentral
GGGCGGCGUGCUUAACACAUGCAAGUCGAGCGGUAAGGCCCUUCGGGGUACACGAGCGGCGAACGGGUGAGUAACACGUGGGUGAUCUGCCCUGCACUUCGGGAUAAGCCUGGGAAACUGGGUCUAAUACCGGAUAUGACCUUCGGCUGCAUGGCUGAGGGUGGAAAGGUUUACUGGUGCAGGAUGGGCCCGCGGCCUAUCAGCUUGUUGGUGGGGUAAUGGCCUACCAAGGCGACGACGGGUAGCCGACCUGAGAGGGUGACCGGCCACACUGGGACUGAGACACGGCCCAGACUCCUACGGGAGGCGGGUGG